Molecule: small nuclear RNA, 104 nt
Organism: Panthera leo (lion)
Lineage: Eukaryota; Metazoa; Chordata; Mammalia; Carnivora; Felidae
Source: Ensembl
GUGCUCACUUCAGCAGCACAGAUACUAAAAUUGGAAUGAUACAGAGAUUGGCAUGGCCCCUGCACAGGAAUGACAUGCAAAUUCAUGAAGCGUUCUGUAUUUUG